UGUGGUGUGUGGGCUCUAUAGUGCAGGCUCAGUAGUUGUGGCGCAUAGGCUUAGUUGCUCCACGGCACGUGGGAUCUUCCUGGACCAGGGCUCGAACCCGUGUCCCCUGCAAUGGCAGGCGGAUUCUUAACCACUGCACCAGCAGGGAAGUCCCACCUUUACAUUCUUGCCAUUAUAUGUCACCACCAUAGUUCAAGACACUGUGGCUGUUUUCCUAACUAUUGCAAAAAUUGUUCUCCCACCCCUAGUUCCAUCUUACGCCCAGCUGAUGGAGUAGUUUUUCUAAAGCACAUAUAUGACUAUAUAAUUUCCCUCCUCAACCUCCCAUGGCUUCCUAUGGCCUCUAGCCUUAAGUGCAGUUUCCUCAGGAAUUCCUUCAGGGCCCUCCAUAAUCUGAUCUUUCAGUCCUAAUAAUCUACUACCCUUUGCAACUCCUAAAUUUUGGCUGUACGACCUGUUCUUUAAUCUUUGUGCUUUUUCCCCUCCAUCUUACAUUCACGUUGCUCUCUGGGCCUCGAUUUCUGAUUUCCAUCAUCUCUGCCUAGCAGAGUUCUAACAUCCUUAAAGACUUCAAAUGCAAAGUUAGCUAAGAUAACCUCUUCCUCCGCUGGACUCCCUCAGUGCUUUAUUUUACCCUCUUCUGUUCUUACUGUCUACUUUAUUAUGAGUAUUUGAUUACUCAUUCCAUAAAUGUUUUUCAAGUAUCUGUUGUGAGUGUGGCCCUGUAGUAGGGGCCACGCGGAUAUAAAAUAGAACUGAUUCAAACCUUGGUUUUUAAAGGACUUGUAUUUUGGGUUGGGAGGUAAUGUAAACCUAAGUAACAUUUUUUUCAAGGUAAAAGAAAACAAGUAUUUCAGGCAUCCAGAGGGAGAACUCACUUUGCUAGAGGGAUGAGAGAAAUCUUUGUGGAGGAGGUGGCAUCCAAGCUAGCUUGGAGGAUCAGCGACUUAUAUGGAUGUACAUGGGGAAGGCAUUCAACACAGAGGGAAUACCAGGAACAAAGCUACCAAGCUGAAAAGAGAAGGGUAUGUUAGGGAAGGGGAAGAAGUUUCAUCUGUUAUUAAGGGGCCUCUUGGGAGACAGGCUGGCGGCAGGUUGGUUAAGGCUAGAUAGAGAAUGGCCACACAUUCCCGGCCAGAAGAUAAGAUGAUGCCGUUGCAUGGAAUCCAUUGAAGAGUUUUGACAAGAGACUGACAGAAUCAGAGCAGAAGAAGCUUGUGAUCAGAACUCAAGGGCAUGAGUCUUCCCUUUUGGGUGAGUCCCGGAUACCCGUCCUCUCACUGUCCCCCAGCAUCAUCUAGUUGAAGAGGAAAUGGUUCCCUGACUGCCAAGUGUCAGUGAAGCGCUGUGUUAAAGUUCUCUGGGAAGGGGUCUCGUCGACGCCUGCUGCAGGACAGGAUAACUAAGCAGAGGAAGAUGGUUGGAUAUCCUCUUCUCAACAAAUUUUGUAUAGCACCCACCAGGUGCCAGGCACCAUGCAGCUUCCCACCCUCAUUGCUCUCUCCCUUCAUACCUACUAUGUGCUGAGUAUGGUGUCAGACCAUGAGGAUCCCAUCCUGAGAGAGGCAAACUUGCUGUCUGUCCUCAGGGGGCUUGCAGUGUAGCAGAUAUAGCUCCUGGAAGUAAACGGGAUCACGUGACAGGUUCUGGCCAACAGACUGAGUAGAUGUGCCAGGAGUCACUUUGGUGGUCUUCUUCACCUGCCACGUCAACAGCAAGAGGCUUUAUCUCCGCGGUGGAGCCACCAGAGAGAAACAGCCUGCGUCCCCGAGCCCCUGCUGAAAAUGAGAUGCCCUGGAGGACACUCAGAGCCACAGCGGACUUUGCGUGAGUGAGAAAUAAACCUUUCAAGGUGAAAUCGCCAAGCUUCUAGGGUGUGUCUCUUACUGUAGCAUAGCCUGGCCAAUCCUGACCAAUGCAGCCUGCCUUCUAGGGGGCCCAGAAACCAGUUUUAUAAACAGGCACUAUUGGUGAUUCUGGGGCAGUGGCCCACUGACCACACUUUGUGAUAAGUGACCACACUGACCUUUUGUGAUAGUAUGGGUCUCAUGGGUACCUUAGAAUCUUCCUCAACACCCAGAAUGUUAGAUCUUCCGUAAAGGAGGUUUGGCUAGCAAAGGGUACGCCCUUUGAAAUGUUAUUGGUGUAUGUCUUUUAAAGGAAGCAUGGUUCAUCAGCAUAAUUAAUGUAUUGAUCCCUGUUUGUUGAGCAUUUACUCUGUGCCAGGCACAGCACUAAGUGCUUCACAUACAUUAUCUCAUCACCCCCAUUGCAAGGCAGACAGGAUUGUAGGAAGACACGGGUAGGAAGUGGUAGAGUGGGAUUUGAGCCCAGUUCUGUCUGAUUCCAAACUUUUGCUCUGACUCAUAUGCUCUCAAUUUGCAGACUCUAUCCUCCUGAUGUUUUAGAGCUGGGGUCCUGCAGUUGAGGGUGACUUUAGUGCCCCCAUCAGAAUGACUUGCAAAGGUUGUGGUAAUACUAAAUGUUGUGUAGUAUUAAAUAGUAAACAGUUUCUUAAACCUACUUAAUGAUUUUCAGCUAAGCAUUUUUCAGGCUUUUGAGGACAGCUAUCUAGCAUACUUUCAACUUUCCUAACAAUGAAUGAAGGUUUUUUGAUUUCUAAGGGCUGCAAAGGAAGUUUGCUGUGGGGUUACAGUUCCUUCUCUGGGGAUCCCAGACACUAAUGAAUUUGCAUAUCAAUAAAGCAAACUGAUAACACCAAUUGCUUGAAAUAAAUUCCCUUAACAGGUCUCUAUGCAUUGACCAUAUGUCAAAAAGUCUAAAAAAUAGUAUCCACAGAGAAAGACAAAUACUAUAUGAUCUCACUUAUACGUGGAAUCUAGAAAACACAAAGCCAUGGAAACAGAGAGUAGAUUGGUGGCUGCCAGGAACUGGGGUGUUGGGUGGUGAUGAGAUAUUGGUCAAAGGGUACAAACUUCUAGUCAUAACAUGAAUGAGUUCUAGGGAUCUGUUGUGCAGCAUGGUGAUUAUAGUUUACAAUACUGUAUUGUAUAUUUGAAGGUUACUAAGCGUGUAAGUCUUAAACGUUCUCACCAUACACGGUCUCCAGAUCAAUAGUCUAUAUAGUUCAUCCUCUCUUGAUUCUCAACAACUCAAUCUGCUUAAAAGCAGAUCUGUCUCUUCUUAUGAUACUAGAGUUAAGGUAGGCCCAGUCUUCUCCCAAGUCAUACAGUUUUGCGUUUGCUCCUUCCCCUGGACAGGUAACAGGACAAGCCAACUCAUGGGCACAAAGAGAACAGUUAUGGCCCACUCAAAACCAGAGCUCAGCUAAUUAGUGGAUGGCAAAGCAGGAGGCGGGAAUGUUUAGUAAUCAUAACAACAACAACAGCAAAAAAUACCUCGAAGACUUCUCAGUAAAAGGAACUGUUGUCCCAACAGACCAUGGAUGUGCUUUUUAAAAUCUGUUAAAUGUCAAAUCAGCUGAUAGGGUCCAAUGUUGACAAGCAUUCAAAAGGGCUUUUUCUUAUCAAAUAGAGAAUCUUGUUGCAAAAUCAUUAUCUACAGUCUACAGUAGUUGGUAAUCUUGUUAGGAACGUUGACUAAAAGGCCCUCUGGAUUUAUUUUUCCCUUAGCUUCUCUUCAGAAAUGGGUAGCAUGGAGGGAGAAGUUACCAUGGGAUACCAUGACUGGGAAAGUGAUUUACCCUGCUAUUGCUAGAAAGGUUGGUUAGUUCGUUGAUACAAUUUAAUGCCAACUCCCAGAGUAAUUAAAAAUUAGAAGAGUGAUUUGGUGCAAGCUCAUGAAAUAUCUCCAAGCACGAUUUGCUCAAGUCCCAUUUUCAAACGAAGGGUCCUGGAAGAAAAAUGCCCCUACAGUUCCAAAGUGCCCCAUCGAAGAACCCACAUCUUGCCUGCAGUGCGGAGCCACAGAGGCAGGGAUUUGUCCUGGGUGGAAAGUUCACCGAACAUGCUGUGCUGACUUGUUGAAAAUUACUUGUUCCAAAAGCCAUUCAGAAACCAGUAAUUCUAUUAGCUUGACUUCUGGAACAGUUGCCUACCUGCAGUAAAAAGUAAUUACAGCUGUCCGCCAGCAAAUAAUCGUUCCAGUGUCUGAACGAAUGGCGAAUCUUCUCUGGAAGGAAUUACUGUUCUUCAAUGAGUCAGCUCAGACCAUGUCUCCGCCUUGGUUGUGACGGACUGGGCCAUCUGCCUAAACCAGUGAGGGAAGGGGAAAGGGCUAAGCGUGCUUUACUUGGUGGAAACAGGCAGGACAGGGACUUCACAAAGCUUAUCAGCUGCAAGGCUUUUCUGAGCCAGGCAAAGCCCUUCAUGAAGACAUGGGCACCCGAGGCAGCUUUCAGGUCAAGGACUUGGCCACUGACUGUGAAACUGAGUCCCUCUAAAACCGAGUUCCCUUGCGGAGUUUAUGAUUAAUCUCUCUAUUCAAAACCUUGAUCCC
Non-coding RNA from Delphinapterus leucas (beluga whale), 4419 nucleotides. The record is from RefSeq and is a predicted model, not a curated record. NCBI's taxonomy places the organism in Eukaryota, Metazoa, Chordata, Mammalia, Artiodactyla, Monodontidae.